GGCAAGGAAUGCCAGAUAUUUGCAGCUGGAUAUUUUCAGUGGGUGAGAUCCAGGCAAAACUGCUAAAGGAGAGAAAUAUUACAGCAUUCAGAGCAUGCUUUGGAAAAGAAGCAAUUGCUUGUGUCAAAAGAAUUUAGAAGUAUAAUCAGCUAUUGUUUGCAACUGCUUAGCUAAAAUGAGGCCCUCUCAAAAAAAAAUUUUUUUUAAACCUAGGUAACUAUUGUAUGCCAGGUAAUUGUAGCUAUUUAAAAGUUAAUGGCAAAAAAAAAAAAAAGUUAAGAAAAGGGAAGGCAACUGAAGGGGUUCAGUGGGUGAUCAAAAUUGGAAUCUAAGAUGCUUUUCCUAAAGAGACACCUCAACCUGAAUGUGAUGUGAAGCUUCCAGAAAUGGUUGCCUCUGAGAGAGGCAAGGCUGAGGGAUUAGGCCUCUGGUUGGAAUCAAGAUUUCUGCAAAUCAUUGAAGAAAGAUCAAAGGCAUUUUCUGUUUUAGUUCCAUCGAUCUGGAGUCUCCAGGCCCUGCCUGGAAGGAGAAACUAGCAGCCAGCCUCCUCAGCAUCAGGAGCUUCCCUGGUGGCUCAGCUGGUAAAGAAUCUGCCUGCAAUGUGAGAGACCUGGGUUCAAUCCCUGGGUUGGGAAGAUCCCCUGGAGAAGGGAUAGGGUACCCACUCCAGUAUUCUGGCCUGGAGAAUUUCAUGGAUUGUGUAGUCCAUGGGGUCACAAAGAGCCCUACAUGAUCGAGCAACUUUCACUUUCAUCCUCAGCAUCAUUUUGCUUGUUUUCACACCAGCACAAGAAAGUUUAAGUCAGGGCAGGAAAAACGCAGGGGUUUGUGUGCUGGGUCCAUAAAGGUAGCUGGGAAGGACCUGGAUUCCGGCUUCCUGUUCAGACAGGGUGUCCAUCCAGUCCUCCGCCUUUUCAGGGGUCACACAUCUUCCCCUUUCGGCAAAGUGUGCUUGCACCGCUGACCUUCUCCAGUCUGUUUGCUCCAGACCCUGCAGUGGCCGCUCCACACACCACGGAGGACAUUCUGAAGACCUGGCCAGCACCCAGAGCCCUCCUCAGUGACCGUGACCCCAUUUACUCGGACUGCGCUUCCGGGGCUGAAACCAGGGUGGGACCAACGCAAGACGUAAAAGGGCGCCAGGUGACUGGGGAACUAAGUACUGAUUUUUUCAAAAAUAAAAAAAUGAUGCAAAAAGUCCACGAUGAGCAAAAUACCAAAACUUCACAUAAAGAUGAAAAUGUCAAAUUUCACCUGCACUUUCCGCGCUCGCCUCACUCCUCACGGCCUGCUCCGUGUCUCCCUCCGCUCCCCUCCUCCAGCUCUUCUCUCAGUCUGCUGGGCUUUUUCAUAGCAGGUGGUUCAGAUGAUAAAGCUUCUGCCUGCAAUGCGGAAGACCUGGGUUUGAUCCCUGGGUCAGGAAGAUCCCCUGAAGGAGGAAAUGGCAACCCACUCGAGUAUUCUUGCCUAGAGAAUCCCAUGGACAGAGGAACCUGGCGGGCUACAGUCCAUGGGGUCACAAAGAGUUGGACACGACUAAGUGACUAACGCUUUCACUUUCAUCACCAUCUGAUGUUCCAUUCAGUUUAUUUCUCUCCAGUUAUUGCACUAGAAUCUAAGCUUCAUAAGAGCAGGGCCUGAUGUCUGUUUGUUCAUGGCCGAGU
Molecule: long non-coding RNA, 1664 nt
Organism: Bos indicus x Bos taurus (hybrid cattle)
Lineage: Eukaryota; Metazoa; Chordata; Mammalia; Artiodactyla; Bovidae
Source: Ensembl